CUGGGUACCAUUGCAUCACCCGCUUGGGCCGUGCUCGCCGUCGCCAUCAGGUGACGCCGCGAAGCCGCCGUCCUUGGACGACCUGCUCCGGCAGGACCAGCUCCGCGUCGACCACAUCCACAGGAGGCUGUCGGGAGACGUCGGCGACGACAAGGGCUCCCACAAGCCUCCGGCUGACGCCGAAGUAAGCCAGGUUAACCACCAGCCCUCUGGUGAUUUCGGCGUGGGCUCCCCCAACACCAACUCCAAUGUAUGUAGGAACUGAUUUGAGUACCUGAAUUGGUUUUACUAUGAAAAAUCUUCCUCCAUCUUAACCUCACUAUCACUACUGUCUCUUACAAUGUCUUGCAGCCGCAGAGCAUUGAUCUGGCGGCGACCGGCGGCGGUCGGCCGAGGCUGCCUGGAGUGAUCCAGACGCUGGUGCUCGACACGGCGAGCGACGUGCCGUGGGUGCAGUGCGUGCCGUGCCCCAUCCCGCCGUGCCACCCGCAGACCAACACCUUCUACGAUCCGACCAAAUCUCCCACCUACGCCGCCUUCAGUUGCAGCUCCUCGCCCUGCCGGCAACUCGGCCCCUACGCCAACGGCUGCGUCAGCAACCAGUGCCAGUACAAGGUCACCUACCCCGACGCUCGUCGUCGUCGGGGACGUACGUCUCCGACGUGCUCACCAUCAACCCCACAAACUCCAUCGCCAAGUUCCAGUUCGGCUGCAGCCACGUCGAGCAGGGCACCUUCAACAACCGCACCGCCGGGAUCAUGGCGCUCGGCGGCGGCCCGGAGUCGCUCGUGUCCCAGGCCGCCUCCAUCUACGGCAACGCCUUCUCCUACUGCGUCCCGCCGACGGCGAGCCACAAGGGGUUCUUCCGCCUCGGCGUGCCGCGCGUUGCCGCCACCAGGUACGUGGUGACACCCAUGCUCAGGUACAAGCAGGUGCCCACGUUCUACCGCGUCCUGCUCCGGGACAUCGCCGUCGCCGGGCAGCGGCUCAACGUCCAGCCUGUGGUGUUCGCCGCCGGGUCGGUGCUGGAUUCCCGCACCAUCAUCAGCCGACUGCCGGCGACGGCGUACCAGGCGCUGCGGGCGGCGUUCAGGAACGCCAUGAGGAUGUACCGCAUGACACCCCCCAAGGGGAUCGGAGCCUGGAUACCUGCUACGACUUCACCGGCGUCGUCGGCACCGUCCGGCUGCCGAAGAUGGCGCUGGUGUUCGACCAGAACGCCGUCGUGGAGCUUGACCCGUCGGGGAUCCUGUUCAACGACUGCCUCGCCUUCAUCCCCAACCGCGACGACAACAUGCCUGGCAUCCUUGGCAACGUGCAGCAGCAGACGAUCGAGGUGCUCUAUGAUGUCGGCGGCGGGGCGGUAGGGUUCCGCCGUAACGCGUGCUGAGCGCGACGGCGGCCGGGAGGAUCCUCUGCUCUCGACGUACGAGCCGGGGAGUUUUUAAGCUGAUCCACACGCCUUUACAAGCAGUAAAUAAAACCAUGAUUUGCAUUGGUGCGAGGCUUUUGCCUAUGUAUAUGAUUUGCCUUUAAUUUAUCGUUGUGCUAUCCGGGUGGGGUGGUCUGGUGUAUUACCAUGUAUGUUUUUAUAAUUUAAUGCAUAACUCAUAUAUUAUGUUGUUUUUUAAGUUGUCCUAUAAUAAUUGCGUAAACCUCUAAAUCUAUAUGUGGAACAAAUAUAUGAUGCGAGUGUAUUGCAAACUUGUACAAUGGUUACGAAACCUCUUCAUCUUACGAGUCUAUUAGAGAUAUACAGCUUAAUUCUGGAAACGAAUGCUCCAAACUUCAUAGGCAAUCGACUAGUGGUCGCGUACGCUUAGAAGUCAGCAUCAUUUUCGGAAAACUUCACACACCUUCUUCUUCUAAGUAAUGGUGAGUACACUUAUGGUUGGUACUCAGCAAGGUCACAAGAGGUAACCAGAAUAACGAUUUAAGUCAAUCUUCAAGUUUAUUAAUCAUGUGAGGGUCCAGGCCGCUCUUGACGGUGAGCACGGCUGAUAUAUCAGUUUUACACUCUGCAAAGGUUGUACACUUUCACCACAAGUCACGUAAAAGUUCAGAAGAACUUUGGACCCAACCAUGCUGUGCAAAAGUAGGCACUUAUCACACUACCAAGGUGUGAAUGCAUAGGGACGCUACAAGGCCUUUACAAAGAUUACCUAAUAAGAAGUAGCCCGCUAAGGUUUCCGGAUCAGUAGCAAAGCAUAAAUCUCUCUCAAGACUGCGAAGCUACCAUAGUGCAGAUCAGUCUAAGGGUCGAGUUAUACCCCAUCUGCCGCCGCCCCCUUGCCCUUUCGGUAAGACCGCUUCAAACUAGAGUCUCUAAUUAAUUAGCCAAGAGCAGAGCCAUGUAGUUCUUGUGGUUGCACUAUUUUCUUGGGUGGUCGCUCUAUGUUCCGAUUACUGCAAGGUAUUUUGUAAAUAAGCAUAGAUAGAAGGAUGGUUAUGGACACUUACCUUUCUCCAACGAAAAGUUGCUCUUACUGCUCUUCAGUUCUUGCACUCUUGAAACUCUAAAUCUUCAAAGCUUUCGAAUAACAAUCUUUCUACUCGAAGCAAUCACCGGCAUAAACAUACAAGCAAACAAACAAGUACAACUAAGAACAAUAUACCAAUCAAAGAAAGGCUUUAAAAGAAUGCACUAAAGGAUAGGGCUCGAUUCUAGGAUCACACGAACGCGAGGACCUAAGGUUGAAAAGGUAUAACUAUCGAGAGAUUUGGAUUAUAAAAUAAAAGACAAGAGCUACAUGCUUCAUUCAUUUUAAUUGAGAAAAACAAUAUAAAGAUAUUUUAGAGAAAUAUCCUUAGUUGGAAUUAAUCAAGUCAUAUUUACAUAUGAAAAUAUGAUGUAAAGCUUAGUCCAAUUUUAUUUAUGAAUAUUUAAGUACAAAUUUAAGCAAAUGAAACAUUUGAUUUUAAGAGCAGCAUGUAAAAGCAUCUAAGCGUACAACUUUAUGAUUCAGGUUGAACUAACCAAAUAUAAUUAAAAACACAUUUAUAUUCAUAUUAGUCAAAUUAACAUUUAAUUAUGAAAACCCGAGAUAUAUCUUAUGUAGCUUUUAUUUAUAAAACAAUUGAAUAAGGAUUAAUCAAAUUGAGUUCACUCAUGAACAACCGUGGUGUAGCACUUAAUUAGAUUUUAUUAAUAAAAACUAGUUCAAUAGGUAUUAAUGAAAUUAACACUUAAUUAUGAAAACGAGGUAAAGAUAUAAAUAGCUUUUGAUUAGAAAAUGAGUGCAUAAGAAAUUAAUCAUAUUAGUAUUUUAAAUAAAUUACAAAAUAGGGAACAUGAUUAACAUUGCUUCUAAUCACGUCAUUUAAGUUGAUAUGAAUCUAAUGAAACAAGACCAAGGAUUAACGGAGCUAAAAUAUGGAAUCUACGAGCUAAACAAGCUGCAGGGGUCUAAUCGUGAUUAACCCUAGACAACAGGGGCUAGCAAAGAAUAAACCUUAGACUUAGAUCUGCAAAAGGAUAGGGCUAGGAUUAGAUUGAAAGGAUCUAAAAGGUUUAGGGGUUCUCUGGGAAAGGAUCAUGACUCAAAAGAAGCCUACAGAAAUACGGAUCUCUCUGAGGACCUAACUGCAAAAGCUUAGGGCUCUAAUGGCCAUGGCGAACAGCGGCUCUGGGCUCGCCUUCGAUUCGGGCGGUGAGAGGCUUGUCCGGCAUGGGGAAAUGGAGGAGGAGGAGGUCAAGGGGAUCAUGGGGGUGUGCUCACUGGCGGCGGGAGAGACGGAGGUGGCCGGAAUUUGGUGGAGACGGCGGCCAGCUCGAUUCUCGCGGACGGGUGACGCUCCGGCGAUGAGAAGAUACAUCUGUGUUGGCGGGUGCUUAGGUCGCCCACCAGCAUAGUGGCAUCUAUGCUGGCGGAUGCUCUCCCGCUGGCCCAAGGAAGCUUUAUGCUAGUGGGUGCCAAUCACGCCCGCUAGCACACUAAAUUCCCUAUACUAGCACAAAUCAAUUCUGGCGUAGUGUCAUGUAGCCUUGAACGGGAAAUUUUUCCUUUUCUUUAUGAAUACACACAUUAUUAAAGUAUCCAUCCACUCAAAAAGCCUUGUUUUGGGUUUUGUGUUAGUUUGUUUAAACAUUGGUGAUCGUUACCAUCUUUUGACGUAAAUUGAUCUUAUGAAAGAAUAGAAUUAUCUUGAAAUUAAAGUCGAUGUCAUAGUAUAACACAAAUUCUCUACAUUUUGCAUAGAUUUAUAUACGCUAGUAAUGAGUAAUCAAGAUAAUGUAUUGGCAACCAUGCAUGUUGUCAAUAUCUAAUAAAAUGAAACUAUUUUGUGACUGUGCCGGAGGGAGUAUGGUUCUUCAAUGCUCCUGCCACUCAUUAGUUGUAUUAAAUGAUCCGGAUAUGAAGUCGUUGACGCAUGGCUGCCAGCAUUUGAGUAAAUUUUGCGAUAGGCAUCUGGGUUUCUUUUGCUAAAACAGUUUCUAAAAGUGGCUGCCCACCUCCAACAAUAAUCCCAUCCCAAGUCUGCUAGUUCUUUUAAAAACGUUGAAAGGGCCCGUGCCUAGCUCUUAUAAAAUUAUUGACGAUAAGAAUAGAAUAAAAAUGAUUGUGCUAACCCAGAGCUGACACGGACUAGUCUUUUGCUUUCCGGAUAGAUGGAGAUCAUUAGUGCUCUCUUUUUCCUAUGGCCAAAUAUAAUGAUACUCUCUUCUUUACUUGUCGGACAUUAUAUUGGCAUCAUAACGAUCACACCAUGCAUGGAAGUCAUCUCCCGUGCCCAUCAUGCAUAUGCAUCGACGAGCAAUAUUGAACAAACUCGCCACUGCCAGUGACCGCCCUCUCCCUUGCCACACGCUGCGUGCAUGUGUUCUUACCAGCCAGGUUUUGCAGAGGAGGUCAGGGACGUAUGGAUCCAAUGCCAUGAGGCAGCCCCGGCACGCGAUCACCGGCUAAACCUUAAGGGUGUGUUUGGUUGGUUGUAUCAUUUGAUUCAUGUAUGAAAUGAUUCAAAAUAAUAAUGAUCCUUUUGUUUGGUUGGGUGAAUUGGACCAACUCAUCCAGGAUGAGGCCAUCCCACUUAGUACAUUAUUCUACUAAUUAGAGUGAACCAUAUGGUACAAGUAAAUUAAUUGAACCAUCCCAUCCAGGAUCAUCCAUGUAUGCAUCAUGUGGUGCAUGCAACCAAACACACCCUAAGAUACCCCGUAGGGCUUGCUAAAUUUUUAGGGUGUCAAUAAGGCUAUAUAUGUUAAAUCUCUAAAAUUUAGAGUUUGCAAGCACAAGUAAGAAAUCUAUCAAUGUCAAGAUAUAACAUUGUAAGAAAACGAAUUAGAGUUUACAAUUUUAAAAAAAUCUAACCUAUAUGGCCUUCCCUUUCUCCAAUGACGUUGUCUUGUCUCUCACUUUGAAGCAUCAUACUCCGGAGAUUACUAAGUUCUGGAUUUUUUUUUCCUCUGAGCAGUUUACGCCCAUAAGAACAUCACUUCAUCAAUUUAUGAAGGAAACACCGAAUGCAUGGUUGCCUUUUGAGAUCACGAUAUCUGUAAUAAUUGUGAUUAGGAGCUCUGCAGCAUGGAGGAGUCCUUAGAAGGUUCCUUUCUCCGCUUUUCCAAUGUUUAUAAUUGGUGGUACAUCAUCUUUGCAUUUUGAAGGGCUAUAAAAGAUCUAUAUUUAUCGUUCUAGACAUUACAGCUAAGUCAUUGCAGCCAUAAAGACCUUCAAAACAGUAAAGAGUUUUCUUUGAGCCAAAUUCAAUUAAGAAUCAGUACGCGUGUUUCAUGCAUGACUAUAAAACACUUUAGAAAGAGUACCUUCGUUCCUUUGGUAUAGUUGCUUUGGAACUUCUUUUCUUUGUCAAUGCACACACUAUCAAUGCAAAUUAUUUGAUGCUCUAAUGCUAAUCUUUUGGCCAUGAAACAAAGAAUUAGAAAUGAGCCACAUAUUAGGCAAAUAAGGAAGCGAUAUAAAUUCCGAUGGGAAAUAAGGAACUUUCCCUCGUAAGCAUGCAUCACACGGCAGGUAUGACCGUAUGACACGCUCAUCAUCAGCCAGCGAAAGCUAAUACGAUUUGUUACUGCGGUUCACUUGUCACAGUAAAACUUCAACUUGAGUUAUGCCCUUCCGUGGGUAAUUAAAAUAAGCUCAUUCAUGAAAUUAUCAAGAAAAAUAAACGUCCUCUGAUUUGAGUGCGACCUUUCAUGCAUGGCAUGUGCUUUGAUUUUUAGCUUCUAGCAGCGCGCUUACAGUGGGAUGAAAACAAAAUCAAGAAGACCUUUGUCGUCUCUACUUGUUAUUAAUGCUGGACUGAAAACACAUGCAUGGAAAGGAAAAAAACUGCAUAUUUUGUAUUGGUAGGAAUGAAGUGCAAAACAUAAUAAAACUAUAAACUUACGAAAAUUUGGAUAGAAAUGCAGGCAAAAUUUGUGAAUCGGAAGAGACAAAAGGACAUAAGAAAAUAUUUUUGUGCAUGUGAAAACUCUUUAAAAACUCUUGUGGAAUGAGCUAUUCCUAGAAGAACCAUAUAUAAUUGGAAGCAUAAAGAGUAAGGCACCUGCCCAUGCUUCAAUUAUGCAUGCAUAUUGGCACCUGGAGCAUUAUUCUUUGAUUUAACUAUUAGGUACGUGUUUGUGCCUAUAAAUUUUGCCCAGAGACCAUGGAAACUUCAAGGCAUGGUCGAGCAGUCCAAACAAGCAAGCAGAGCCAUGGUUUGGGUUUUGGCGCCACUGCUGCUCCUCCUCGUGUCAGCUGGUUCUUCUCCAGGUGCCCAUGCAGCAGAUCAUGAUGGAGACGACUACAUGAUGGUGGCAAUGAACUCGCUGAGACCGGAAGCCACCUGCUUGGGGCACAGGGGUAAGUAUAUACCUCUCCUUGUUCAACUGCUGAUUUUUUAGAAUGCAAUUAACCUGUUGAUCACCCAUAUCACCGUGUGAAAUGAAACGAAAAUUAAGCUAUAGCAGAACUGAAAAAUUAAUAUUUUUGGUGACAGAGAUUCCACCGCAGAACGGCACCUGGGUACCAUUGCAUCACCCGCUUGGGCCGUGCUCGCCGUCGCCAUCAGGUAAGCCGCCGUCCUUGGACGACCUGCUCCGGCAGGACCAGCUCCGCGUCGACCACAUCCACAGGAGGCUGUCGGGAGACGUCGGCGACGACAAGACGGGCUCCAACAAGGAAUCGGCUGACGCCGACGUAAGCCAGGAGUACCACCAGCCCUCUACUCAGUUCAACGUGGGC
RNAcentral lists this long non-coding RNA (7184 nucleotides) under Setaria italica (foxtail millet). RNAcentral describes it as "long non-coding RNA (SITA_LNC002695)". The record is from RNAcentral. Lineage: Eukaryota; Viridiplantae; Streptophyta; Magnoliopsida; Poales; Poaceae.